GGCUUUCUGGCCCAAUGGUCAAGGCGCUUGCCUACGAAGCAAGAGAUUCCAGGUUCGAGUCCUGGGAAGGUCG
This is a transfer RNA of Melampsora larici-populina 98AG31, 73 nucleotides long. It matches the Rfam family "tRNA". Rfam says of the family: Transfer RNA (tRNA) molecules are approximately 80 nucleotides in length. The record is from Rfam. Lineage: Eukaryota; Fungi; Basidiomycota; Pucciniomycetes; Pucciniales; Melampsoraceae.